Carlito syrichta (Philippine tarsier) is the source of this 318-nucleotide long non-coding RNA. RefSeq lists it as uncharacterized. The transcript is spliced from 4 exons. The record is from RefSeq and is a predicted model, not a curated record. The annotation marks the transcript as partial. NCBI's taxonomy places the organism in Eukaryota, Metazoa, Chordata, Mammalia, Primates, Tarsiidae.
UUCCCUUUUGAAGGACUUAAAGGAGAAGAAGGAAGUUGUGGAGGAGGCAGAAAAUGGAAGAGACGCCCCUGCUAAUGGGAAUGCUAAUGAGGAAAAUGGGGAGCAGGAGGCUGACAAUGAGGUAGAUGAAGAAGAGGAAGAAGGUGGAGAGGAGGAGGAGGAGGAGGAAGAAGGUGAUGGUGAGGAGGAGGAUGGAGAUGAAGAUGAGGAAGCUGAGGCUGCUACGGGCAAACGGGCAGCUGAAGAUGAUGAGGAUGAUGAUGUUGAUACUAAGAAGCAGAAGACCGAUGAGGAUGACUAGACAGCAAAAAAAGGAAA